GAUGAAGAACGCAGCGAAAUGCGAUAAGUAAUGUGAAUUGCAGAAUUCAAUGAAUCAUCGAAUCUUUGAACGCACAUUGCGCCCCCUGGUAUUCCGGGGGGCAUGCCUGUCCGAGCGUCAUUACAACCCUCAAGCUCAGCUUGGUGUUGGGCCCCGCCGCCCCGGCGGGCCCUAAAGUCAGUGGCGGUGCCGUCCGGCUCCGAGCGUAGUAAUUCUUCUCGCUCUGGAGGUCCGGUCGUGUGCUCGCCAGCAACCCCCAAUUUUUUUCAGGUUGACCUCGGAUCAGGUAGGGAUACCCGCUGAACUUAAGCAUAUCAAUAAGCGGAGGA
RNAcentral lists this unclassified non-coding RNA (329 nucleotides) under soil metagenome. RNAcentral describes it as "partial contains 5.8S ribosomal RNA, internal transcribed spacer 2, and large subunit ribosomal RNA". The stretch from base 1 to 120 matches the Rfam family "5.8S ribosomal RNA", at positions 35 to 154 of the family's 154-position model. The record is from RNAcentral.